RNAcentral lists this ribosomal RNA (495 nucleotides) under uncultured bacterium. RNAcentral describes it as "partial 16S ribosomal RNA". It matches the Rfam family "Bacterial small subunit ribosomal RNA", at positions 28 to 507 of the family's 1533-position model. The record is from RNAcentral.
GACGAACGCUGGCGGCGUGCCUAAUACAUGCAAGUAGAACGCUGAAGGAGGAGCUUGCUUCUCUGGAUGAGUUGCGAACGGGUGAGUAACGCGUAGGUAACCUGCCUGGUAGCGGGGGAUAACUAUUGGAAACGAUAGCUAAUACCGCAUAAUAGUAGAUGUUGCAUGACAUUUGCUUAAAAGGUGCAAUUGCAUCACUACCAGAUGGACCUGCGUUGUAUUAGCUAGUUGGUGGGGUAACGGCUCACCAAGGCGACGAUACAUAGCCGACCUGAGAGGGGGAUCGGCCACACUGGGACUGAGACACGGCCCAGACUCCUACGGGAGGCAGCAGUAGGGAAUCUUCGGCAAUGGACGGAAGUCUGACCGAGCAACGCCGCGUGAGUGAAGAAGGGUUUCGGAUCGUAAAGCUCUGUUGUAAGAGAAGAACGAGUGUGAGAGUGGAAAGUUCACACUGUGACGGUAUCUUACCAGAAAGGGACGGCUAACUACGUA